RNAcentral lists this ribosomal RNA (407 nucleotides) under uncultured bacterium. RNAcentral's name for it is "partial 16S ribosomal RNA". It matches the Rfam family "Bacterial small subunit ribosomal RNA", at positions 28 to 526 of the family's 1533-position model. The record is from RNAcentral.
GACGAACGCUGGCGGCGUGCCUAAUACAUGCAAGUAGUACGCAGUUGCGAACGGGUGAGUAACGCGUAGGUAACUGCCUCAUAGCGGGGGAUAACUAUUGGAAACGAUAGCUAAUACCGCCUCCUGUUAGAUGGACCUGCGUUGUAUUAGCUAGUUGGUGAGGUAAAGGCUCACCAGGGCGACGAUACAUAGCCGACCUGAUAGGUUGAUCGUCCACUCUGGUAAUGAGGCACGGCCCAGAACCCUGCGGGAGACUGAAGUAGUGAAGCUGAGGAAAUGGAGGGAAGACUGACCAGAGAACGCAGCGUGAGUGAAGAAAGUGUACGAGUGGUACGGGGCUGUUAUGAGAGAAGCGGAGACUAAUAAGAAAGGGACGGCAAACUACGCGCCAGCAGCCGCGGUAAUAC